RNAcentral lists this long non-coding RNA (3869 nucleotides) under Homo sapiens (human). RNAcentral's name for it is "HSALNT0181297". The record is from RNAcentral. Lineage: Eukaryota; Metazoa; Chordata; Mammalia; Primates; Hominidae.
UUUACAUAGAAUUUACAUUGUGUUAGGUAUUAUAAGCAAUCUAGAGAUGAUUUAAAGUAUAUGAGAAUGUAUGUAGGUUAUAUGCAAAUAUGAUGCAUUUCAUAUAGGGGACCUGAGCAUCCCAGGGCUUUGGUAUCUGUGGUAUCAAUCCCUGGUGGAUACAAAGGGAUGACUGUAGAGGAUUAGAUGAUCCCUGAAUACUUUUCAGCUUGGACAUUCUAGGAGCCUUUUCUUCAGCCUCUUGUUCCAAUAAUUCUCACUAUCUUGCUGUGCCUUUGAUCUAGUGUAAAUCACCUUGCACGUUAACUCACCUAUUUUAAUGUGCAAAUUCAUCUCCCAGCAGCAGCGAGAUGAAUUCCGUGUGUGUGGGGGUGUGUGUAUGUGUGUGCUUGUUGCCCGAGGGGAGUUGAGGGAUCUAAAUGAGCAUCCAGAGCUGCUGAAGAUAAGAAGCCCAAACAUAAAGUUGGGGACAGAUGUGACAAUGGAGUGAUGCUCAGGCUGAGCUGAAUCAGCACAUCUGGCAGGCAGCCACCCUCAUUUAAAGCAGUUCCUUCCAACCCGCUGGUGACAGGAGCCCUGCUCCAGAACUGGGGAGAUCUGAGGCUGGGGUGGCUGGCAGAGGUAAUCGGCAGCCCACUGUUCCCUGCUUUGCCAGCACCCUAAGGCUCCCUCCUACCUAAGCCAGGGCUGAGCCUCAGAGCAGCCAAGAAAGCCUGAUCCAGCCCCAGGGCAAAAUCAGACCACAGGGCAGAAUGUCUCCAGGGAGAACUCCUUCAUCAUUUUGCCUUUUUGAAAUUGAGAUCAAAUUAGGAGUCUUAUUAAAAGGAAAUAAGUCAUCCAGCAGCUUCAGGUCACAGAAGCCCAGUGCUUGGCUGGCAUGUGGCCACCCACAGGGCCGGGAGCUGCUGGAGGAGGUGGUGGGCAACUGGAUGUCCCGCUGGGCUAGCACUCCUCUUUCUAGGGCAUCAGGGAGGGUAGGGGGAUGCAGCUCUGGGGCUUUAGGAGAAAAGAACUAAUGACAUCCUGAUGAAUAUAUGAUUGGAGCUACAGUCAUUGCAAUCAACAGGUUUUCCUGAUUAUAAACUGAGGACAAACUGCAAGUAACAGAGGAGUAUCUGUUUGCAAAGAGGAUUUUAGAGCAUUGAUCCUAGCACCUUCCACUUCACACUGGGUCCUGUUGAUGCCCAUGCACCCCUGGCCCCAGGCCCUGACAAGGAGCGCUGCUACCCUAUCCCUGAGCCCUGAGUUGCUCUGAACCCCAUCCCACCCAAGACCAGUGCUCUCAGGCCCUGCUGCCAUGGGGUCAUGUAAGAAGGCAGGCUUCUGGCUGGCAGCUGGCUCUUGGGGGAUCUUCAUGUUUGCCACCAGUCACAGGAGAGAGGGAAAGGUAAACAGAGCCAAAUACAUGCUUGCCUUCAGUGAGACGGAGGACCAAGGAAGAUAAGCAGAUCCGUGAGGGUGGGAGGGGGCAGAUAAUGGGCUCAUGGUCAUUUCUGUUCUCAAAAAGAGUCGCCAUUAAGUAAAUACUUUCUAUCUGUCAGUCACCUAUGCUAGGUACUUCAUGUAUAUUAUAUCCAAACCACAGAAGGAGAGGUAGGUGUUGAUGCUCCCAUUUUAUAGAGAGGAAACUGGGGCUCUGAGAAAUGUGGUGACUUUUCUGCAGGUCACACUUAGUAAGGAGAGGAAUGUUUUACAUGCAGGAAGAGUUAAGAACACAGCUUGGGGUCAAAUUCUGACUCCCCUGCUUCCUGGCUAUGUGAUCCUGGGUGGGAAAGUACUAUUCUGUUUUUAUCUUAUUUACCUGUAAAGUGGAGAUAAUACCCACCUCACAGUCGUUAUGAGGCUUAUGUUAGGGCAGGAUCUUCAAGUUUUGAUAGGGUGCCUAGUGCAGAGCAAAGGCACAAUGCACGGGGGGUGGGGGGGCGGGCAUGGUGGCUCGCAUCUGUAAUCCCAGCACUUUGGGAGGCUGAGGCAGGUGGAUCACUUGAGGUCAGGAGUUCGAGACCAGCCUGGUCAACAUGGUGAAACACCAUAUUUCAUAAAAAUAUGAAAAUUUGGGAUACGGACGCAUGCCUGUAAUCCCAGCUAUGGGAAGCUGAGACAUGAGAAUCACUUGAACCUGGGAGGCAGAGGUUGCAGUGAGCUGAGAUCACACCACUGCACUCCAGCCUGGCCGAUAAAGUGAGGCUCUGUUUCAAAACAAACAAACAAACAAACAAACAAUGCACAGGCAGGCUUUAUUCUUUCUCUCUGCGUGUCUGCAGGAUGCCAGUCUAUGAGGACCAAAAGCUCAUUCCCUGGGAAAGGGAGUCAGCUCUAAAUGGGUUUUCUUCACCUCUGAUUAUUCUCUCCUGUAACGGAACCCUUGGAGAGCCUCUAUUUUCAAGUUAUUUAGAAAAUGAGACCUCUUACUUAAAAAAAGUCAUGUGGUAUUAAAUGUCUUCUUGUCCUCAGAAUAUUAGGUUAGUGCAAAAGAAAUUGCAGUUUUUGUCAUUACUUUUAAUGGCAAAAACUGCAAUUAGUUUUGCACCAACCUAAUACUUCUUAGUCAUACUUCCCCUCAGUUCUCCAAGCCAAGAAGCUCUUAUUUGAACCUAUCCUUAAAAAAGUGUUUACAAUAGCAGCCCGUGACCUGUUGCAGCAUCUCAGCCCCUUCCUAUUGUUUCCUCUCAACUCUGAACCUCAGUCCCACCUUGCGGCGCACUGGAACCACCGUCCUCACGUCAUGUAUGAAGACAGUGAGCAGCUCUGGACUGUCUGUUACCUGCCACCUCUGCUGUGGCUUCAGGAUGGUGAUGGAGUUCCAUCCCGGCCACAUCCUCUUUAGGAUGGAAAAUCCCAGCUCCUCUGCUUGUUGAACCAGAAGACUCUGAUUACCUGGAACAAGCCGUGUCUCCAAGGGUGGUGUCGGGGCUCCUGGCAAGUGGAGAUGAGGCCUUCUGAAAGAUGGCGCUGGUAUUUUCCAUGCUGCCUGGAAGGAGACAGAGCUUCAGGUGCAGCAGACUCUCUUCCAAAUUGGAGAUGACUGCUCUCGGCAGGCACUCUGGAACAAUAAACAUAAUAACGUAAUUUGACAUUCCCCACUCUUUGGGGAAGAGAAUACACCUAUCAUAGCCAUUUUCAAGAGCCAAGAAGGAGGGCAGCCAUAGCAGGGGAAGGCGGGGCCUGAACUUCAAAGGAGACAGGGCUGGUGGUUAUGAACACAAACAGCCUUUCCGUUUUCAAAGCUCCACGGAAUUCUGUGAAAACAGCAACUUUUGCACCCUCUAAUUUUCUUCUUUGUGCUCUGAUUAGCAUCGAGCCGUUCUCCCUUUGCAAUUCAGUAGCCUCUUGAAGGGUGUUUGUUUGCAUGAUAGGACUGAUGGGCAGGUCCUGGCUAGUGGCCUGUCACUUGCUUGCCACCCAGGGCGCCACCACAGAGUGCCCCAGUGAGCUCCCUCCAGCCAUGCGCAGUACAUCAAUCUGAAUGAGGGGCUCAGGCCAUUGAUUUUCUUCCACCGCCCACCCCCGUCACCAAAUGCCAAUUAUUUAUCUCCGUUUCAGAAACGAAGUUCUUAAUUUAAGCCAACAGCUGCCUUACCUGUGAAGAACACUUUCUUUGGGUGUGUUGAAUAACAUCUCCCUGGAGGAGGAGGAUUUCCUUUCCUACAUGCUUCAGAGAAUGGCCAGCUUGAUUCCUUAAAGGACAUGAGCUUCAUCCUUUCCCAGACCCUUCAAACUUAACCCAAAUGACGUCAUAGUUGACACCCUCAAUCUCAAGAUAGAGUCUGGUAAUCUCUUAUAUUUGCGUAGUACUUUAUAAUUCCCAAAGUGCCUUCACCUCCAAAACUUCAUUUAACCUUUACAACAAUGGAGGAGGUAGGUUGGGC